RNAcentral lists this ribosomal RNA (253 nucleotides) under uncultured bacterium. Its description in RNAcentral is "partial 16S ribosomal RNA". It matches the Rfam family "Bacterial small subunit ribosomal RNA", at positions 524 to 776 of the family's 1533-position model. The record is from RNAcentral.
UACGGAGGGGGCUAGCGUUGUUCGGAAUUACUGGGCGUAAAGCGCACGUAGGCGGCUUUGUAAGUUAGAGGUGAAAGCCCGGGGCUCAACUCCGGAAUUGCCUUUAAGACUGCAUCGCUAGAAUUGUGGAGAGGUAAGUGGAAUUCCGAGUGUAGAGGUGAAAUUCGUAGAUAUUCGGAAGAACACCAGUGGCGAAGGCGACUUACUGGACACAUAUUGACGCUUAGGUGCGAAAGCGUGGGGAGCAAACAGG